ACACAGGGAGGUAGUGACAAGAAAUAACAAUACGGGGCUUAAUGUCUUGUAAUUGGAAUGAUGGGAAUUUAAACCUCUUCCAGAGUAUCAAUUGGAGGGCAAGUCUGGUGCCAGCAGCCGCGGUAAUUCCAGCUCCAAUAGCGUAUAUUAAAAUUGUUGCAGUUAAAAAGCUCGUAGUUGAAUUUCUGCUGCAUUUCAUUUCUCUUUCUGAGUUUGUUUUUGCGGCUUAUUUCGGUUUGAUUUUUUCUUUCCGGAUGAUUACUUUGAGAAAAUUAGAGUGCUCAAAGCAGGCUUUUGCCUUGAAUAGUUUAGCAUGGAAUAAUAAAGUAGGACUUUGGUUCUAUUUUGUUGGUUUUAGGUACCAAAGUAAUGGUUAAUA
This 379-nucleotide ribosomal RNA is filed under the name Theileria annulata. RNAcentral describes it as "SSU rRNA". It matches the Rfam family "Eukaryotic small subunit ribosomal RNA", at positions 454 to 874 of the family's 1831-position model. The record is from RNAcentral. Lineage: Eukaryota; Apicomplexa; Aconoidasida; Piroplasmida; Theileriidae.